CAUAAUCACUGCAGUCGCUGCCUUUCAGACUUAAAAAGAACAAUGAGGAAAGACACCCACGCUUCCCCUCACUGGGCUAGGAAGGAGAGCUUUGCGGGUUUAGACUGCAGUCUCCCCCGCCCAUAGCCACCUGUGUGCCGGCUCCAGACGAGGUCCCCCCAGCACCCUGGCAGGGACUGUGCCAUCAACAGACAAAUGGCAGCCGACCAAGGAGGCGACUGGCGUGUGGAACAGAAAAAGCCGGUGCAGUAGCCCGGAUGCCCAGAUCCGCUCAUUUCCCAAGCCGGUUCCCACACCCGCUGCCCACCGCCUGGCGAGGAAGGAGCAGGCGAGGUUCGCUCGAAUCGUCGUCACGGGUUUCCGUGGGUACAGUUAUUACUUGUUACAUAAUAUUAAACAAGUAAGAUUAAAAAUGGUUACAUAA
Long non-coding RNA from Symphalangus syndactylus (siamang), 424 nucleotides. RefSeq lists it as uncharacterized. The record is from RefSeq and is a predicted model, not a curated record. Lineage: Eukaryota; Metazoa; Chordata; Mammalia; Primates; Hylobatidae.